UGAAGAGAGUUGGUCAACUUUCA
RNAcentral lists this non-coding RNA (23 nucleotides) under Arabidopsis thaliana (thale cress). The record is from RNAcentral. Lineage: Eukaryota; Viridiplantae; Streptophyta; Magnoliopsida; Brassicales; Brassicaceae.